Molecule: ribosomal RNA, 250 nt
Filed under: uncultured prokaryote
Description: partial 16S ribosomal RNA
Rfam family: Bacterial small subunit ribosomal RNA
Source: RNAcentral
UACGUAGGGGGCGAGCGUUGUCCGGAAUGAUUGGGCGUAAAGGGCGCGUAGGCGGCUUAGCAAGUCUGGAGUGGAAGUCCUAUUUUCAAGGUAGGAAUUGCUUUGGAAACUGUAAAGCUUGAGUGCAGGAGAGGUCAUCGGAAUUCCCGGUGUAGCGGUGAAAUGCGUAGAGAUCGGGAGGAACACCAGUGGCGAAGGCGGGUGACUGGACUGCAACUGACGCUGAGGCGCGAAAGUGUGGGGAGCAAAC